AGAUAAUAGAUACCCUGGUAGUCCACGCCCUAAACUAUGAUAACUGGCUUUCCGGAGUAUCGACCCUCUGGAGGCGAAAGCUAAACGCGUUAAGUUAUCCGCCUGGGUAGUACGGCCGCAAGGCUAAAACUCAAAGGAAUAGACGGGGGCUUGCACAAGCGGUGGAGCGUGUGGCUUAAAUUCGUCGCUAAGCGAAGAACCUUACCAGGGCUAGAAAUCCUACUGCACGUCUAGCGAAAGCUAGAAAGCCUUCGAGGGUGUAGGACAGGUGAUGCAUGGCUGUCGUCAGUUCGUGGUUUGAAUCGUUCCCUUCAGUGGGGUAACGAACGCAACCCUCGUUGCCUGUUACAAGUGUCAGGCGAGACUGCCCCCUCACGGGGGAGGAAGGUGAGGAUGACGCCAAGUCAGCAUGUCCCUCUGAUGUCCUGGGCUGCACACGCGCUACAAUCGCCUUUACAGAGGGGCGCAAUGUCGUAAGACGGAGCAAAUCCCUAAAACGAGGCGCCAGUUCGGAUU
Molecule: ribosomal RNA, 516 nt
Filed under: uncultured bacterium
Lineage: Bacteria
Description: bacterial SSU rRNA
Rfam family: Bacterial small subunit ribosomal RNA
Source: RNAcentral